RNAcentral lists this ribosomal RNA (498 nucleotides) under uncultured bacterium. Its description in RNAcentral is "partial 16S ribosomal RNA". It matches the Rfam family "Bacterial small subunit ribosomal RNA", at positions 30 to 523 of the family's 1533-position model. The record is from RNAcentral.
AUUGAACGCUGGCGGCAUGCCUUACACCUGCAAGUCGAACGGUAACAGGUCUUCGGAUGCUGACGAGUGGCGAACGGGUGAGUAAUACAUCGGAACGUGCCUAGUAGUGGGGGAUAACUACUCGAAAGAGUGGCUAAUACCGCAUGAGAUCUACGGAUGAAAGCAGGGGAUCGCAAGACCUUGUGCUACUAGAGCGGCCGAUGGCAGAUUAGGUAGUUGGUGGGAGAAACGCUUACCAAGCCGACGAUCUGUAGCUGGGCUGAGAGGACGAUCAGCCACACGGGGACUGAGACACGGCCCAGACUCCUACGGGAGGCAGCAGUGGGGAAUUUUGGACAAUGGGCGAAAGCCUGAUCCAGCAAUGCCGCGUGCAGGAUGAAGGCCUUCGGGUUGUAAACUGCUUUUGUACGGAACGAAAAGCCCCGGGUUAAUACCCUGGGGUCAUGACGGUACCGUAAGAAUAAGCACCGGCUAACUACGUGCCAGCAGCCGCCGUAA